UCUCUUGUAGCUUAGUUGGUUAGAGCGCUGCACCGGAAUCGCAGGGCCGUAGGUUCAAUUCCUACCACAGGAC
RNAcentral lists this transfer RNA (73 nucleotides) under Paramuricea clavata. It matches the Rfam family "tRNA". Rfam says of the family: Transfer RNA (tRNA) molecules are approximately 80 nucleotides in length. Lineage: Eukaryota; Metazoa; Cnidaria; Anthozoa; Malacalcyonacea; Plexauridae. The record is from Rfam by way of RNAcentral.